UACGAAGGGUGCAAGCGUUACUCGGAAUUACUGGGCGUAAAGCGUGCGUAGGUGGUUUGUUAAGUCUGAUGUGAAAGCCCUGGGCUCAACCUGGGAAUUGCAUUGGAUACUGGCAGGCUAGAGUGCGGUAGAGGAUGGCGGAAUUCCGCGUGUAGUGGUGAAAUGCGUAGAGAUGCGGAGGAACACCAGUGGCGAAAGCGGCGCACUGGACCACAACUGACGCUGAGGCGCGAAAGCUAGGGGAGCAAACAGG
This 253-nucleotide ribosomal RNA is filed under the name uncultured bacterium. RNAcentral's name for it is "partial 16S ribosomal RNA". It matches the Rfam family "Bacterial small subunit ribosomal RNA", at positions 524 to 776 of the family's 1533-position model. The record is from RNAcentral.